This 491-nucleotide ribosomal RNA is filed under the name uncultured bacterium. Its description in RNAcentral is "partial 16S ribosomal RNA". It matches the Rfam family "Bacterial small subunit ribosomal RNA", at positions 28 to 507 of the family's 1533-position model. The record is from RNAcentral.
GAUGAACGCUGUCUACAGGCUUAACACAUGCAAGUCGAGGGGAAACGACGGGGAAGCUUGCUUCCCCGGGCGUCGACCGGCGCACGGGUGAGUAACGCGUAUCCAACCUGCCUCUGACUGAGGGAUAACCCGUCGAAAGUCGGCCUAAUACCUCAUGGCAUCGUCUGCGGGCAUCCAACGACGAUUAAAGAUUUCAUCGGUCAGGGAUGGGGAUGCGUCUGAUUAGCUUGUUGGCGGGGUAACGGCCCACCAAGGCUACGAUCAGUAGGGGUUCUGAGAGGAAGGUCCCCCACAUUGGAACUGAGACACGGUCCAAACUCCUACGGGAGGCAGCAGUGAGGAAUAUUGGUCAAUGGGCGGGAGCCUGAACCAGCCAAGUAGCGUGCAGGAUGACGGCCCUAUGGGUUGUAAACUGCUUUUAUGCGGGGAUAAAGUGAGGGACGUGUCCUUCAUUGCAGGUACCGCAUGAAUAAGGACCGGCUGAUUCCGUG